GGAGAAAUGAAUCACCCUGGGAUCUGACUCAAAGAUAAAGCCUUGGCCUUUCCACUGGGAUACGAUUGUUAAACACAAGCAUGCAACGUGGACACAAUUGAGAUCCAAAGGCUUCCUGUGGCUGAGACCAACCACCACCUGAUUCCCGGCUCGUCCUGGACCUCAUUUCCAACUACGCCCUUGCCACUUAAGCCUGGGGCCCCUCCGCUAACGCAUCCCCCUGUCCGGAGAGAGCAUGGACGGAGCUCUGUGUGUAGCUUAGGCUCUGCUCAAAUCUGCCCUGAGCAGACAGGCUUUCUGGACCACCUUCUAGAAGAUAGCACCUCUCUCCGCCUCAGGGACAUUGGCUCACAUUCCAGUCUUACCCUGAUGUUCCGAGCCCUCCAGCCAGCCCUGAUCUCCAUCACAUAGACUUAAGCAUGACUAGAGGUUUACUGAUCCACAUGCCUGUCAUUCCGGACAGGAGAGCUCUCUACUUGCGGACAUUAAUUUCAACUGUGUGACUGCGGCAGGUGAGAGAGAACCAGUAAAAUCAGCAAGAGUUAAAAAAAAAAAAUCGCAGUGAUGUAUGCUGAGUCUUUUCAAACUCCUUGUUCAGGAGUAAUCACAAAAUUUGCCCACCUCAACAAGUUAAACCUAAAGGGCACGGGCCAACACCAACCGAAUAAGCACAAGCCAUUUACCUCAAGCCCGCUGUGUCAACAUCUAACCGAGAAGAAACUGGACAGGCCUGGGGCCAGGACA
This is a long non-coding RNA of Felis catus (domestic cat), 744 nucleotides long. RefSeq lists it as uncharacterized. The record is from RefSeq and is a predicted model, not a curated record. The transcript has 3 exons. NCBI's taxonomy places the organism in Eukaryota, Metazoa, Chordata, Mammalia, Carnivora, Felidae.